AUUAUCAGUGUUGGAUGUGAAGAUGGGACACACUUUGCUCUCUCUACUGGGGUUUUUCUUGCUGAAUUUACUUUACCGUGGACAAGCUCAAGAUGCUGUGCUGACCAUUGAGCCAAACUGGGCAACUUCUUUUCCCUGGGAGUCUGUUACCUUCAAGUGUGA
Long non-coding RNA from Trematomus bernacchii (emerald rockcod), 162 nucleotides. RefSeq lists it as uncharacterized. The transcript has 3 exons. The record is from RefSeq and is a predicted model, not a curated record. Lineage: Eukaryota; Metazoa; Chordata; Actinopteri; Perciformes; Nototheniidae.